UGGGGAAUAUUGGGCAAUGGGCGCAAGCCUGACCCAGCAACGCCGCGUGAAGGAAGAAGGCUUUCGGGUUGUAAACUUCUUUUAUCAGGGACGAAGCAAGUGACGGUACCUGAUGAAUAAGCCACGGCUAACUACGUGCCAGCAGCCGCGGUAAUACGUAGGUGGCGAGCGUUAUCCGGAUUUACUGGGUGUAAAGGGCGUGUAGGCGGGCUUGCAAGUCAGAUGUGAAAUUUCCAGGGCUCAACCCCCGGAACUGCAUUUGAAAUCUGUAGGUCUUGAGUGCUGGAGAGGCAAUCGGAAUUCCGUGUGUAGCGGUGAAAUGCGUAGAUAUACGGAGGAACACCAGUGGCGAAGGCGGAUUGCUGGACAGUAACUGACGCUGAGGCGCGAAAGCGUGGGGAGCAAACAGGAUUAGAUACC
Molecule: ribosomal RNA, 420 nt
Filed under: uncultured bacterium
Lineage: Bacteria
Description: bacterial SSU rRNA
Rfam family: Bacterial small subunit ribosomal RNA
Source: RNAcentral